ACCGUCCUUAUCUGGGGGUGCGCGGCCGCCCGAUGAGCGCCUGGCGAGGGCGGCCCUGCUGACACCGCAACAACACAGUCGCGCCCGCCUUGCGCGAGGCGCAAUUUUUGGAACC
Apus apus (common swift) is the source of this 115-nucleotide small nuclear RNA. RefSeq annotates it as U4atac minor spliceosomal RNA. The record is from RefSeq and is a predicted model, not a curated record. The transcript has a single exon. Lineage: Eukaryota; Metazoa; Chordata; Aves; Apodiformes; Apodidae.